AGUUUGAUCCUGGCUCAGGAUGAACGCUGGCGGUCUGCUUAACACAUGCAAGUCGAACGGAGUGCUUCGGCACUUAGUGGCGGACGGGUGAGUAACGCGUGAGAAUCUGCCCUUAGGACGGGGACAACAGCUGGAAACGGCUGCUAAUACCCGAUGUGCCGAGAGGUGAAACAUUUUGUGGCCUGAGGAUGAGCUCGCGUCUGAUUAGCUAGUUGGUGGGGUAAGAGCCUACCAAGGCGACGAUCAGUAGCUGGUCUGAGAGGAUGAUCAGCCACACUGGGACUGAGACACGGCCCAGACUCCUACGGGAGGCAGCAGUGGGGAAUUUUCCGCAAUGGGCGCAAGCCUGACGGAGCAAGACCGCGUGCGGGAGGACGGCCUAUUGGUUGUAAACCGCUUUUGAUAGGGAAGAAGCACUGACGGUACCUAUCGAAUCAGCAUCGGCUAACUCCGUGCCAGCAGCCGCGGUAAUACGGAGGAUGCAAGCGUUAUCCGGAAUUAUUGGGCGUAAAGCGUCCGUAGGUGGUUGUUCGAGUCUGCUGUUAAAGCGUGCGGCUUAACCGCAUACCAGCAGUGGAAACUGGGCGACUAGAGUGCGGUAGGGGUCAGGGGAAUUCCCAGUGUAGCGGUGAAAUGCGUAGAUAUUGGGAAGAACACCGGUGGCGAAGGCGCCUGACUGGACCUGCACUGACACUGAGGGACGAAAGCUAGGGGAGCGAAAGGGAUUAGAUACCCCUGUAGUCCUAGCCGUAAACGAUGGACACUAGGUGUUGCCCGUAUCGACCCGGGCAGUGCCGUAGCCCACGCGUUAAGUGUCCCGCCUGGGGAGUACGCUCGCAGAGUGAAACUCAA
This 852-nucleotide ribosomal RNA is filed under the name uncultured bacterium. RNAcentral describes it as "bacterial SSU rRNA". It matches the Rfam family "Bacterial small subunit ribosomal RNA", at positions 10 to 904 of the family's 1533-position model. The record is from RNAcentral.